Molecule: regulatory RNA element, 133 nt
Rfam family: Ribosomal protein L20 leader
About the family: This family is a putative r-protein leader autoregulatory structure found in B. subtilis and other low-GC Gram-positive bacteria. It is located in the 5' untranslated regions of mRNAs encoding initiation factor 3 followed by ribosomal proteins L35 and L20 (infC-rpmI-rplT).
Source: Rfam
UGAGGAAAGAAGAAGCACCCGCUUCUCACCUGGCUGACGCAGAGUGGCAGUUGGCAGGUUUUACGUAAACGACUGUUUUAUUAUGUAUGGUUUCGUAAAGUGUGGGUGUUUUCGCCCGCACUUUUUUGUUUGC